Syzygium oleosum is the source of this 2752-nucleotide long non-coding RNA. RefSeq lists it as uncharacterized. Lineage: Eukaryota; Viridiplantae; Streptophyta; Magnoliopsida; Myrtales; Myrtaceae. The transcript has 3 exons. The record is from RefSeq and is a predicted model, not a curated record.
GUCAUUAUGCGUGCUCUCUCUCUCUCUCUCUCUCUCUCUCUCUCUCUCUCUCUCUCAUAUGAGCAUGAGAGCUGUGGCUUGCUAGGGUUUCACAGAGAAGAAUUGAAUUGGCUUUUGUGGGGAAUGUUGGCUGGCUCGAGGCUUUCAUACAUGCUAACCUAAGGGAAAGGGGAAAACAAAGAGUAUGUAAGGCUUCGGACCAGGCUUCAUUCCCCUCAAAAACUCAUGGUGAACCAGGUGGUGAUGAUGGUGGUGGCUCUGCUUUAUCUCUGGAUUUAUGGGUGCAACCUCCCAACAUUUGGACUGCAAAAUUAUGCAUUAGUUUCUAUACAUCUUGGUAGAGUUAAAUAAAUUAUGAAAACCGAUGGGCCCUAAAGUAGCUCAUAAUCCUCACGUAUUUAAAUCUUUUUAUUAGUAAGGAUUAAGCACAUCGGUGCAUGAAGAACAUGAGAUAACAUUUGAGAUCUCUUUAGAUUUGGGGGGUAAUAACCUUCCAAAUAGAUACCUCUUUCAGUAAGACACAUGCAGGCCACUGCCAGGAACCUUCCCCUUGGCUUUUCUAAUUUGUCUAUUGGAGUAUACAUGUGAAUUUGCACAUAUGAAAACACCAUAGUUAUGCUCCUGAAAAAUGAUCACUUUUGGUUUGUCCCACGUUGUUUGUAGCUAAGAGUUGAUUAGUUAAGGAAUGAUACAAACAUAAGAUAAUCCAGUUUCCUACGCUCAGGAUCAAUAAUGUUAAUGUAACUUCCAGACCGACACCAUACCAGCUACUCUACAGAACCUAUUGAGAAGUAAAAGGGUAAAAAAUAUCCCAGCCAUCUUACCCUUAUAUAAGCCUUGUAUGGCCCAUAAAUUCUGCUAUUUCUAUUUUGGGAAAAAAGUCAAGCUAAGUUAAUUUGGUUUUAAAUUCCGAAGAUUUUGAAAUAGGAUUAGGUGAUCAAUCCUCCAGCUUGUAGCCCCCCUUUUCUCCCCUAAUUAAGACAGAACCAGGCGCUGAACUCCCCUGGCCAUUUUGAGCUUGCUUCGAGCUUUUCUAAAAUCAAUUAGAUAUGUUUAACCUAAGUGAAAAAGGGAAAACACUCUCAGUCUCUCUCUCUCUCUCUCAAAAUCAGCAGGAUGAGUGAAGAUCUGUGAGCAACCUCCUGAUGACAUACAUGACAUUCUCUUGAAAGGGUAAUGGCAAUUCUCGAUAAUUUUUCUUGGUUUCGUAAUUUCAUUCGAUUAAUCUUUUGCUAUUUAUUGACCAUUUCUUGCUUUGUAUAUGAUUAAGGCCAUCGCAGCUGGGGUUAAGCAUUAAUUCAAAAGUAACUUCUGAGAGUGUUGAAUGAGGAGAUUCCGUAGAUGGGCAUCAACAGCUAACGAGAAAAGAAAGACACGAAAGGAGUUUUCCCUCUUGCGCUAGGGCUAAGAUAAAUUAUCCUCAUUCAUGCAUGCACAUGCAUGACUCAUCAAAACAGAGUCCCACAUCACAUUUACACACACGGAGACACUUGCACGAUAUGAGUUUAGCAAUGUCAUUAUGGAACUUUUCAAAGCCUUUGCAAAACCAGUAACUGUUCUUGGAAAAGCUCCAUCAUUUAUGCUGUUGAUGGGCACCUCUCUCUCUCUCUCUCUCUCUCUCUCUCUCUCUCUCUAGUCACACUGUGUGUACUGUGAUUGAGUACAGAGAUUGGCCUUUGAAAAGCCAACAUCAACAGUUGAGAGAGAGAGAGAGAGUGAGGAGUGAAUUAAAUGACGACUAUCUGACAUUUUCUUGGGAAACGAAACGGUUUCUAUUGACAACUUCAUGUCUUGAAGAUGGAAACCACCAACUUUUUUUGUGUUGACAGCCUUCAACUGUUUUUUUUUACGGUAGAGAAGCCUUCAUUUGUGUUGUUAUUUCUGAUCUUCUUGUACUAUAGAGACACACAGAUUCAAGACUUAUCGAUAACUACAAGCUAAUCAUGUUUUCUUUACAAAUGAAACACAUUUUCUUGGUCUAGUGAGAAAAGUAGAGAGAGAGAGAGAGAGAGAGAGAGAGCGAGUUAAAAGGGUAACUUGAGAUGCACGUAGAUGUGGUCUUUCUGUCUUGUUUGCUACAAACACAGGACACAGAAGAUGGGGCCCAUUUUUCUAAAAAACAAAAACAAAAAAAUUUCAUCGAUCAGAGAUCAAAUCCAAUACCUAUUUUACUCUAUUGAUAUACUGUUUAUCUGUUUUUUUUUUUGGUCGAAACUGUUUAUCUGUUUGAAGUCGCUUGCUUUUGUCUAACGUUCAACGUACUGUGCUCCAAUUCUCUUCAUGGUCCCGUCGCCAUCACUGAUUUAUAACCCAUCCAAUAUAAUAUAGCAAUAGAAAGAAGCAAUAAAAUAAAUAUACAUAGAGCAUCUGCGCUGCAUUUUAACUGUUUACCAACACUUAUAUAGUAUUACGAAGUCUUUUAUAGUUAAAUAUGUGAUCGGGUACAGUUCAGGGGUCAACUGAUGAUCUGGUCAUAGUGGACCGUACUGUUUCGCUCUUUCCUCUCUAGUCUCAUCUGCACCACGAGCCAUAGCCUAAAACCUGGAGGUCUUGUACUUGCACAGAUUGUCGUGUUAUGUAGGGGUAGAAAAUAUAUAUAGAAUGAUAGUACUAGGCAUACCAGAAUAUAUAUUUUUUAUAUCAUAGAGUAGGAUGUGAGAAAAACCCUACCUUCAUUUCCUCUUUUGGGUUUAACUUGCUAAGCUGAUUCAUUUUUUCAAAUUCACAUCACAUGAAGUUAGUUGUCCACUCA